Molecule: long non-coding RNA, 1180 nt
Filed under: Equus caballus (horse)
Lineage: Eukaryota; Metazoa; Chordata; Mammalia; Perissodactyla; Equidae
Description: lncRNA (ENSECAG00000056147.1)
Source: RNAcentral
GACAUGAAACAACGUACGUGAAGUCAACAGCAAACAAGAGCUUAGGUCCCGCCUAGAGUCGUUCCACCCAGGUCCGUAUCUCACCUCCGUCUUUGCUGACUGCACGUCAGUUUGCACAUCUGUAAAAUGAGAAUAAUGAUAGCAUCUACUUCAUAGAGCAAAUACGAGGAUACACCGGGCAAAUUCACAGUCAGUAACGAGCACAGUGCCUGGCACAGGGUGUGUUCGUAAAUGCUUUCUAUGGGUAGAAGUUAUCAUUAUGGUCACUCUGUAUCGAACACCAGCAAGGGCUAAGCACUGUUCUAAAACUUUUACAUGUUAUUUCAUUUCAAAUCAUAAAAACAACCACCUUCGCCUUUGCUUUCCCCACUUCAGACAACAGAUACUAAGAAAACGGUUGAACUUUUUCAGAAGUCUGUCAAUUGGUAAUAGGAGACUCACACCAGACAAGCCAGCGAUUCUCACAUUGUGGUCCAGCAGCAUCAGUAUACCACGAGUAUUAACUUUCUAUUGCUGCCGUAACGAAUCACCAGAAAUUCAAUGAUCAGAACAACGCAAAUGCAUCCUCUCACAGUUUCUGUAGGUCAGAAGCCCAGCACAGCGCGGCUCAGAUGCCUCUCUGCUGAGCGUCCAGGAGACCUGGCUCAGGGCUGCAGCCCUCUCCAGAAGCUCUGCGGAUGAAUCUCUUUCAAGCUCCUUCAGGCUGUUGUCAGAAAUCAGUUGCGUGCAGUCUCAAGGCCCUGGGUUCCAUGAGCUGUUUGGGGCUGUUCUUGGUUUCCAGAGGCCAACCGCAUCAUUGGCUCCAGCUCCUUCCUCCGUCUCCAAAGCCAGCAAGGGCAGAGGGAACCUUCCUCAUGCUCCACCUUUGUCUGACCUCUCUCUGCUUUUAGGGCUCAGGUGACUACCCUGGACCCACCCAGAUAAGCCAGGAGCAUCUCCCUCCUUCACAGUCAGUCCGUUAGGAGCCUGAACCCCACCUGCUAGUCCCUUCCCAGCAGUUCCUGGAUGGUGUUUCAGUGACUAACCAGGGGAUGGGGUUCCUGCUGGGAUAGCUUUGGAAAGCUGCCUAUCACACCAGGGAACUUGUAGAAAUUCAAACUCUCUGGCCCCGUCCCAGACUUACAGAAUCAGAAACUGUCAGAGUGAGACCCAGAAACCUGUUUUAACAAGCCCAUCCACU